This 577-nucleotide ribosomal RNA is filed under the name uncultured bacterium. Its description in RNAcentral is "bacterial SSU rRNA". It matches the Rfam family "Bacterial small subunit ribosomal RNA", at positions 338 to 915 of the family's 1533-position model. The record is from RNAcentral.
CCUACGGGAGGCAGCAGUGGGGAAUCUUGCGCAAUGGCCGAGAGGCUGACGCAGCGACGCCGCGUGGGGGAUGAAGCAUUUCGGUGUGUAAACCCCUGUUGCUCGGGACGAACGACCCUUUUCGAGGGGUGUGACGGUACCGAGUGAGGAAGCACCGGCUAACUCCGUGCCAGCAGCCGCGGUAAUACGGAGGGUGCGAGCGUUGUCCGGAAUCACUGGGCGUAAAGGGCGCGUAGGUGGUUGGAUGCGCCGGUGGUGAAAGCGCAGGGCUCAACCCUGCGUCGGCCAUCGGGACGGUCCGACUGGAGCACUGUAGAGGCAGGUGGAAUUCCGGGUGUAGCGGUGGAAUGCGUAGAGAUCCGGAAGAACACCGGUGGCGAAGGCGGCCUGCUGGGCAGUUGCUGACACUGAGGCGCGACAGCGUGGGGAGCAAACAGGAUUAGAUACCCUGGUAGUCCACGCCGUAAACGAUGGGCACUAGGUGCUUGGGGGAGCGACCCCCUGAGUGCCGACGCUAACGCAUAAGUGCCCGCCUGGGGAGUACGACCGCAAGGUUGAAACUCAAAUUGAAUUGAGG